RNAcentral lists this long non-coding RNA (8246 nucleotides) under Ananas comosus (pineapple). RNAcentral describes it as "long non-coding RNA (ACOM_LNC029751)". Lineage: Eukaryota; Viridiplantae; Streptophyta; Magnoliopsida; Poales; Bromeliaceae. The record is from RNAcentral.
GGGAACUUCACCUUGAGAUUUGGACUUAGUAAAACUAAGGUCAUUGACAAUGAAAUUAUUGAACAGUUAAACCUUCACAUUGAGACAAAGUACUAGACCUUUGGGUUGCUAGUGACUGUUACCAUGUUAGAGACAUGAUGAUUGGGUACUUGAGAUAAUGAUUAUGCUUGCUUGCCAUUUGUGCUCAUUCGCACAUGCUUGUACGGGUCGCUCUCUACAAGCCGGCACUCCGGAGUUAGCCUACGUGACUUAUGUUCGCUCGUGCGGUAUCAAGUAGCCUACGGGGCUUGGAGGGUUAGACUCAUUCAUAGAGUGGGAAUGCUGGAGCUACCACUGGCACUUAGGUGGCACAAGCCAGACCUCACCUGUGUAGGUCCUAAAUUAGAUUGAACCUGAAUAUUAAUUAAUAGGUUGAUAAACACUACUAGACAGGUUAUGGUAGUUGGAUUCCUUGACAUGCUAUGGCAUAGGGUUGGGCAUUGAGUUAUAUAGUAUACUUGACGGUAUCGUUUAUUGCAUUGUAGUAUACUUGGUUGCCACAAUACUACAUACUAGAUAUGUAGUUGGCUUUGGGACAUUUAUCAUACUUCAUAGUAUUACUGGUUGCAUCAUAGCAUACUUGUUUAAGUAUUGGCAUACUGGAUCAUGUAGAGUAGAUGUACUCCAUGUUGACAUUCUAUAUACUUGUGGCAUAGUAGAGUAGCAUUAUAUUAUUAUGCUUUAUUUAUCGCAGUUAAUUUAUGUUAUCCUUAUCUGCUCUCUUUUGGGCCUAGUGAUGCAGUUGGUGCAGGUCAGUAAUUGCCCACUGGAAACUAUAAAUUAUAGUUCUCAUGCCCCCUGUCUUAUGUUUUCUUUCAGAGCCUUCCCCUUCGGGAGGGGCUCGGGAUCGCGGGAAAGGUUUCGCCUUGAGCUAGCUAGCGAGGGAUUUGGCGAUAGGUGGUCCACCUCUCUUUUGUUUUUCUUCGGAAAGGUUGUGAGAGUUUUGUACCUUAUUAUAGAGACCACCCUACUGUUGUAUCUUGAGACUUGUGAUGUAUUAGUUUUAUUAUAUUCUUGUGGUUUAGUCUCUUUUUCUUUCCUUUUUAUUUCCGCUUGUUGACAGAACUUAGCUGCAAACUUGCUCUGAUAUCGUUAGUUAUUGUUUAUUUUAUCUUUCAUAUCACUUUGUUGUAGACGCCUUAUAUGUGCAGGCAUAUGGCGGGUCUGGACACGCACCGGGUAGGGCCUAUGCCGGGUCUUGGGGCGUGACAGAUUUAUUUGGUAUCAGAGUCUAGGGUUGAGUCUUAGUGGAUCUAGCGAACCUUAGGCCGGUUGGACUAUAGGGAUUAGGCUCGUGAGAGACGAUGUCUAUUUGACUUGUAAGCGAAAGUACCAUGAUUGGGUCUACUUGAUAACUCUAAAAUGUUGGAGUUGAAUCAAAGUGUAUGGCUUCUAACUUCGCGGAGGGUUACGUUGGCGGCCGACAACGUAACAUUGGGAGUUAGUAGUUGGGACACUUCUUUACUUUCGGUUGAUUUGGGGUACUGUUAUUUGAGCGGGGUUACGAUAGCGUGGGUUAUAUUAACUUGCGCUUUUAUGAUGUUGUAGUGUUGAUGCCGACUACACGCUCUAAGUUUGUUAGAGCGGACGAUGCGGCGACUUUUGAGGAAGCGGAGACAUCAGCUACCUCCGGAUCCGGUGAGGUCCGUGAGUUGAGGAGCCAACUUGCCGCCCUCACUGAUUUGGUGACGCAGUAAGCGGCGGCGGCGGCUCGGCAGCAGGCGGAUACGGCAUGCCGGCAGGAGGCACGGAUGCAGCGCCUGGAGGAUCUUCUACUACAGCAGGCAGCUGCCAGGGAGACUCAGGUCGCGGUACUACCCGCGCCAGUGGAGACAGUUGCGCCCGGGGGGUCGUCCCCUGUACUCGACACUUCGCAGACGACACUUACGGUAGCCCCUCGGGAGGAGGUAUUGGCAGCACCACCAGCUCAGGUGCCUGUGGCAGCGGCGACUUUUCCCUUGAUGGUUGAAAGAGCGGAGCGGCAGCGGCUCAUGGAUCGCCUCGAUGAGUUCAGGAGGUGCGAUCCCCGGAUAUUUGAUGGAGAGAAAGCCGACCACUGGAUCGUUGAGAAGUGGUUGAUGCACAUGGAGAAGUUAUUCCUCGGCACCUUCGUGGAGGAAGGAGAUAGAGUUUGUUCGCCACUCACAAUUUGGACGGCGAGGCCUAUAGUUGGUGGGUGGGCAUCCAGGAUAAUCCCAACACCGACCUAGCAGCGAUUUCUUGGAAGAGGUUCAAGGAGCUCUUAUUGGAGCAUUACUUCCUCGUCCGCGUUAAGAGGAAAAUGGAGCAGGAUCUACGCGAGAUGCGCCAGGGGGAAUCGGACUGUGGCCGAGUACGAGAGGGAGUUCUCUCAGCUUCUACACUAUGCGCCCUUUGUUGUGCGGGACGACGAGGAUAAGGCUUGCAUCUUCGAGCGAGGAAUUCGGCCGUCGAUCUUACGGUUGGUGCAACCCUCCCGCCUUCAGACUUACCAAGAUGUGGUGAACCGCGCGCUCAUCGUGGAAAGCUGCGCGAUAGACUUGCAGGAGCGUCGAGAAGGCUCGGACAAAGGAAAAGGCACGAGGCUCGCGGCUGAGGGUGUGAGUCAGACGCACUCCGGGAGCCCGCCAAGACAUCCCAGGAACCGGAGUCAGUCGCGAGGACGUGGCUCAUCAGCACGGCCUAGAGGAUCCGAGCGUCGUCAGACUCUAAGCUGCGUGAUCUGCGGUGGUCGUCAUUACCCGCGGCAGUGCUCACAGAGGCAGGGCAGGUACUACUCGUAUAGCUAGGAGGGCCACUUCCAGUCAGACUGUUCGAGAGCUUCAGUAUCAACGCCAUCUUCAGCUUCGGCACUAGUAUCACCGGGUCCCAGCCAGGGGACGCCUUUUGCUCACUAUCAGGCCGAGAGGCCACCUGACCGGAGACAGACGGAGGGGUCACAACGGGCCCCUAGCAGGUGCAUGUACGCGGCCCUGACAGAGGAGGCAGCAGCGGCCGAGUUUGUGACUACAGGUAUCAGUUUCGUUUGUGGCAUUCGAGUUGUGCAUUGUUGGUUACUGGAGCAUUGCAUCUAUGAUCGGCUAUUCGCCGAGUUGCAUGGCAUUUCGUUAGUUCGCUGUUUGCGACAUUGUGUAGCCCCUCGAGCUAGGCGAUUGAUUUGCGGGUUGCGGGUAGCAUGUUUCGCUAUGCUUGUAGAUCUCACGAGGAUUGCAUUAGUUGUAUCCCACCGGAUAGUGCUUGGAGACGACCGUGCCUGGACCAUUUGGGGACUGUGGAGCCUGGGCCCGCUGGGCAGGCGCAGUCGGCUGUGUGUGACAGCGGCCCGGUACCUGCGGGUAGGGCAGAGUUUUGGUCAGGAUGGUAGUCCGAGCGUAGACCCUGGAGCGUGGAAAGUCACGUGUUGGAUCGUGAGAUCGAGGACACACUGAGUGUGUAGUUACCCAACCCAAGGAUUUGUUAGCGUUGAGCUUUUCGGCGCGUGUUGAAUGAUCGGUUGAUCGGGUGUGUCGUUUCGAGCACCCUACAGUGUGAGAUGGUUUUGGUGUGCAAACAAAUAGAUUGGCCUUCCUUGGUGUGGAGUUGUUGUGGGUACCUGUUACCCUUGGAGUGCGAGCUGACUUGACUCGCCUUGAGGACUUUGAGCACGAAAUAGUACGAUUUGAGGAUUUAGUUCCGCUGAUUGUGCCAGAUGUCUCCCUUACCUAAAAAUUGGGUAAGUGUUGGAGUGGUUUGGGGCCUGAGUGGCCAUUAGCUUUGGGUGAUCGAGAAUCCUUGAAAUAAACGAUGUCCUUGAUCGGUCGUUGUGUCCCCGAUCGAGUCACAAAUUGUUAGCUCGAUUGACGAGGAGGUUUUAUAGUUGGAGUUUUGCUUUGUGGAGGAGCACUCUCACUUGUUGGGACCGGUUGGGCCGUUUCGACUGUAUGUUGACUCUCGUGAUUCAAAUUGAACCACGAUUGGAGGUUUGGACCGUGCUGAGGCUUAUUGACCUUGUCAAAUGGCCUUGAGUUGCUGGUGUACUCGACAAGAUUGUGAGCAAUCUGAGUAGUACUGUUGAUGUUGGAGGUUGAGGUCGUACCUCAAAUGGAUUGUGAUGCUAGGUGGGGACAUCACGAGGAUGAUGCUGCCUAAGCCUAUAGUACUCUACCUGUGGAAGGGUUUGCGGAAUGAUAAUUCCGAGCCCUCUGGGUGGAUCUGUAGAACCGUUGCGGAUGACUUGGGUAUUUGAUAGGAUGUGCGAGGUUGGACUGCGUAGGCAGGUUUGAAGUGAUUGAGUUGUGGAACUCUCACUGAUGGAUGGAAAACUUGUGAGAGGGAAGGUACCAAGUUGCUAAUUCCUCGUGUCAGGAGCGUGUACAAGGCUUUGAGAUCUUCGGGAUGGAACUGUAUAUGAGGACUUAUGGAAUUAACUUUGGCUUGACAGUCGCAUCAGGAUGACUUUGAUAGAGAGCUGUUACUAAACGGUGGAUUGAUCCAUCUCUAUCGUGAGAAUUGAGUUUGGGGACCAUGGACACCUGGAGCAUCCAAUGCUAGGGAAAGCAUUGAGAUCCGAAAUUUCUAAGUGAUUGUGUUGUGAGCCUUCUGUCGAAGCUUGGCCCUUGGCCUAGGCUUGCGAGAGUUUACUUGGACUUGAGUUGGGACUAAGAUGAUGAUCUUAGUAGACUGAUGAAGCCUUUGAGCUUAGUCCUCGACCAUAUAUUGCAGUGGAAUUGAGGGUACUCCCGAGUGGUGAAUUUGAGAUUGAUGUGGAGACAUCGCAGCGCCGUGCCGUUUGAGGAAUCAAGUAAACGCCAGAAUGAGCGAGUAGGAACGAUUAAUCGUUUCUGUUAAUAUUGGAAGAAUGGCUAUCUUGAAUGUUGAAUCGGAACCGUUCGUGCCAAGCAAGAUUGGACAGAGUGAUGGACGUUGCAAAUAGCAAUGGGAUUGAAAGGUUACACCAUAACUAACCUUGGAUUGGAUUACACUCAGUUAUGUUAUCUCAAGAAGAGACUUGAUCUUAGAUCUGAAGGAUCAUCGUUGGAAUAAGAGCCGACGAGUGGACUGUGCAUCACCAUCCCUUGGUGAGUGUUGAUCGGGUGAGCACUCCGAUGGAGUUGUGGUAGUUGGGUGGCAGAUGUACCCCCCCCUCCCCUGAUGCUUGCUUUGGACAGUACCCAUGAGUCAAGGCACCGCCUUGGAAGGGUAUUCGAUGGAACUUCUAGUGCAAGAGCGAUUGAUAUAAGCUAGGUUUUACCCUCGACUUGGACGAGGAAGGUGAAAACUGGAAUUCAGCUUUUGGGAGCACUAGCAUUCGUGAGGGCUGACUGAAGGACUUAUUGAUCAAGCGCGGAUUAGGGAUGGACCUUGCUGCGAAGGCUGGAGUCCGAGGAACUUCAGAGAGAGUUUGAUUUGAGUUAUGCCAAGUCUUGGCAUCGCGGGGUCUGGUUGUUUUUGCCGUGGAGCUUUCCGGCAUGUUUGAGACCUUCGUGGUCUAGCUUGUACGCUGUUAGAGCGUUCCUCUAUCCUCUUUGGAUGAGCCUGUGUUGUGGUUGAUCCGCAGUUUCGCGGACGAAACUCCUUUUUAGGAGGGGUGAAUGUAACACACUGGACCUUUGCAAAUUGCGAGGUUCGAGUGUUUGGACAAUGUCCUGACCUUUUCCAGACUUUCUGGUGGGUCGUUGACUGUGUUCCGACCUAUGGUUCGUAUCCCGAGAUUUGCGGUUUAAAGCCUUGUACCAAAACCCGAAAAAACGGAAUUUGGCCAACUCUCGGGUAGCUAUCUGGAGGUCUUGUACCGGUACAAGUUGGUGGUUGUACUGGAACAAGGUUGAUGGUUGUACCGGUACAGCCAACGAGCUUGUACCGGUACAGAGCCGCUGAAAACCCCCCAACCCGAGCCUCGUGUUGAGAUUUUUCGCGGGGCUUGUACCUGUACAAGGGCCCGUGUACCGGUACAAGGGGUCAUUUUUCGUGCAGUCUGGACUGCAGGGGUGUUUUUGCUAUUGUAGCAUUUCUACAAAUAACCCCACGCCUCCCCUCUUGUUCCCUAAGCUUGGAGGCAGUGGAGAGAAGGUAUGGGAGCCUCUAUUCUCUCUCUUUGAUUUCCUUUGGUUUAUUUGAAAUUUUUGAGGUUUAAUCCUCUCUUUUUGCUCCUCUUUGCUUUUUGGUGCUAUUUCCACCAUGGGAGGAGCUUAGAGCUUGGACUUGAGAGUUGUUGGGAGGAAGAUCAUCACUCCUAAAGGGGUUUGAUCCUUGUUUGAGAGCUUCUAGGAGGUAAGCAACACCUUCUUCUCCCUAGAGUUGGAUUUUUAUGCUUUCUNCCUUUGCAAAUUGCGAGGUUCGAGUGUUCGGACAGUGUCCUGAGCUUUUCCAGACUUUCUGGUGGGUCGUUGACUGUGUUUUGACCUAUGGUUCCUAUCCCGAGAUUUGCGGUUUAAAGCCUUGCACCAAAAUCCGAAAAAAGGGGAUUUGGCCAACCUCGGGUAGCUAUCUGGAGGUCUUGUACCGGUACAAGUUGGUGGUUGUACCGGAACAAGGUUGAUGGUUGUACCGGUACAGCCAUCGGGCUUGUACCGGUACAGAGCCUCUGAACCCCCCCCCCCCAAACCCGAGCCUCGGAUUGAGAUUUUUCGCGGGGCUUGUACCCGUACAAGGGCCCGUGUACCGGUACAAGGGGGCAUUUUUCGUGCAAUCUGGACUGCAGGGGUGUUUUUGCUAUUGUAGCAUUUCUACAAAUAACCCCACGCCUCCCCUCUUGUUCCCUGAGCUUGGAGGCAGUGGAGAGAAGGUAUGGGAGCCCUCUAUUCUCUCUCUUUGAUUUCUUUUGGUUUAUUUGAAAUUUUUGAGGUUUAAUCCUCUCUUUUUGCUCCUCUUUGCUUUUUGGUGCUAUUUCCACCAUGGGAGGAGCUUAGAGCUUGGACUUGAGGGUUGUUGGGAGGAAGAUCAUCGCUCCUAAAGGGGUUUGAUCCUUGUUUGAGAGCUUCUAGGAGGUAAGCAACACCUUCUUCUCCCUAGAGUUGGAUUUUUAUGCUUUCUACUAGAUGGAACCCUAGAAUGAGAACUUAGGGUUUAUUUUGGGCGUUUCGAAUCUAGAGCUUUUGGAGCAAGAUUCUUUGCUUUAGAACCUUCCUUGGGCUUGGAUUGGAAGGAUUUUAGCUCUCCUUUGGAGCUUAGGAGAGGAUUUUACUCUUGAGGUGAGUUUUGGCCCUUUUGCUUUAUGGUUAAUGAUUGAGCUAAUUGCUCUUCGUUUCAUUUGGGUGACCCUAUUUUUGAUGUUUCUAGGGUACUAGGAAGCUAGUGGAUACCUCCGUUCGGCGAAACGAAGGUUUCGAUUUUGGUGGGUUUGGCCUCACCUAGAUGAGAUAAACUUCUCACAUGAUGGUUUUUAUUUAUCGUUAAGUGAAAAUGCAUGCAUAUUCUUACUAGAUAGAAUAUUUGAGAAUUUUAGAAUGCUUAAAAUGCACAUGUUACAUACAAUGCAUAUUUGAUCUCUAUAUAGUAGAGAGUUUUCAUGUUGGGCUAGGGGCCUAUGGUUAGUAUUCUUACAUUUGAUUGAGAUCAUGUUGCAUAUGGUGCAUAUGGCAUAUAGAUUACACUAUUGGACUUAGAACGUAUGUUUGACAUGGUUGGACAUAUCGACAUUAAGUGACAUAGGCUAGAGUGUAUACAAAUAGUAAGCUAAUGUCAUAAAGCGGCAUUAGGCUUGGACUAGAUAUGGACUCAGCAAGCUAAUGUCAUAAAGCGGCAUUAGACUUGAUGGAUAUGUAAAUUGCAUGUGCAUGUUAUUAUUAUGAGAAUUAUGCCAAGUUGAUAGUUGCAUUGGAAAGAACAUACAUGUAGCAAUACGAGAGCACGCUAGAGAGCAUGUGCAUUAAUCUAUGAUUGAUAGAACACGCUAACGUCAUAAAGAGACAUCGAAUGUGAAAUGUGCUUAGAUUAUAGCAAUAUUUAAGUGUCAUAAAGAGGCACUAAACAUAGUGAAUGUGGGAACUUCACCUUGAGAUUUGGACUUAGUAAAGCUAGGGUCAUUGACAACGAAAUUAUUGAACGGUUAACCCUUCACAUUGAGAGAAAGUACUAAACCUUUGGGUUGCUAGUGACUGUUACCAUGUUAGAGACAUGAUGAUUGGGUACUUGAGAUGAUGAUCAUGCUUGCUUGCCAUUUGUGCUCAUUCGCACAUGUUUGUACGGGUCGCUCUCUACAAGCCGGCACUCCGGAGUUAGCCUACGCGACUUAUGUUCGCUCGUGCGGU